GCUUUCAUAUGUGAAAGCAGUAGGGCGCCAGAUAAUGACUGGAAUAGGCAAUAAUAUUGCUUUCAUAUGUGAAUCCAGUGGGGCGCCAGAUAAUGACAGGUUAAAUUUGUUUGAUGCUCACUUUCAAGCUAGUUCUCAUGUACGAAAGCUUUUGUUUGGUUAGUUUAUUGACUACAGAUGCAGGCAUUAAAUGCAUUUCUGGUAAUAAUUGGUAAUCUAGAAUGCAUGUCUGAUCGUCAAAUGUGAUACAUCCAGAUGGUUGUGGAGUUGAUUCUUUUACUUUUUAUCUUAUUUUCAACUAGAUUGAUUGCGUGUUUUUUUAUUUAUGAUAACGUUAAAUUAUUAUUAUUAUUUGUGCAAUAAUUGGUAAACUAGAAUGCAUGUCUGAUCUCUAUAUGCAAUUAUAUAGGGAGGCCAGGUUGGGGGAGGUUAGGUGUUCUCAGUGCAUAUCUUAGAAGUUAAAACGGCUCGAUUUUAUGAUUUUCUUUUUGUUUGGACACGUUCUUUACUAACAAUUUUAAGACAUAGUUGCACUCUGCUUCCUCAUCCUGAAACCACCAGUUUGAAGCAGAGCUGCCUUCUGCCGUGCAUCUUGCUCUGUUUUGGUUUCCAGCGUAUCUUGCCUGUAUUCGUCGUAGUGCUCGAUUCCUUUCUGGUUUUCUUUCACAAGGUGCACCAGACGUUGAUGGAGUUGUUUUCCCCCCUCACGGUGUCCCGGUCAAAAUAGUUAUUUGUCAUCCCCCUUUGAUUAAGUGAUAGGGUAUUGUUUACAUAGAAAUGUUGAUCUUCAGUGAUGAUGCAAAAUCAAAUUGACACGCCCGAUAAUCGCGCUGGAUAAAUUUUGUGCAUCCUUUGACCACGCCAUUUUUUCAUGCAUAAAAUUAUGAGAUGCUUUCUUGCAUGAUCUUUUCUUGGACUUCUUAAUAGUUAGUACACU
This is a long non-coding RNA of Asparagus officinalis (garden asparagus), 937 nucleotides long. RefSeq lists it as uncharacterized. The transcript has 3 exons. The record is from RefSeq and is a predicted model, not a curated record. Lineage: Eukaryota; Viridiplantae; Streptophyta; Magnoliopsida; Asparagales; Asparagaceae.